UAGGGAAUCUUCCGCAAUGGACGAAAGUCUGACGGAGCAACGCCGCGUGAGUGAUGAAGGUUUUCGGAUCGUAAAACUCUGUUGUCAGGGAAGAACAAGUACCGGAGUAACUGCCGGUACCUUGACGGUACCUGACCAGAAAGCCACGGCUAACUACGUGCCAGCAGCCGCGGUAAUACGUAGGUGGCAAGCGUUGUCCGGAAUUAUUGGGCGUAAAGCGCGCGCAGGCGGUUCCUUAAGUCUGAUGUGAAAGCCCCCGGCUCAACCGGGGAGGGUCAUUGGAAACUGGGGAACUUGAGUGCAGAAGAGAAGAGUGGAAUUCCACGUGUAGCGGUGAAAUGCGUAGAGAUGUGGAGGAACACCAGUGGCGAAGGCGACUCUUUGGUCUGUAACUGACGCUGAGGCGCGAAAGCGUGGGGAGCAAACAG
RNAcentral lists this ribosomal RNA (428 nucleotides) under uncultured bacterium. RNAcentral describes it as "bacterial SSU rRNA". It matches the Rfam family "Bacterial small subunit ribosomal RNA", at positions 355 to 775 of the family's 1533-position model. The record is from RNAcentral.